AAUUCAAAUAUGGAAGGGUUUUCGAUAUUUUUUUGAGAAUCUAUUUGAUCCUUGGGGACCUACUCAGAAUGAGUGGGACUAUCUACUGUCAUUACUGAAUGCCCACAUUCAAAAAAUAAAGGGCUCCAUUAGCACUCUUAACUCAAACAUGGAGGUGUCUUCUUUCGUCUUUUGAGAAUUUACUUGAAUGAGUGAGACUAUCUACUGGCACUGUUGAGUGCCUAGGUUCAAGAAUGGAGAGCUACAUGUACCAGACUUAAUUCCUCAAGACACUCACAUAUUUGAGAUUUUACUUAUACUUUUAUUCGUUUCAAAUGGUAUGAUCACUAAGCACUCAACUUCAUGCAUACCAGCCAAUAAGUAAAUAACAACCGAAAUCAACAAAGGGGGAAGGAAAUGACUUAACCCUUCUUGUAUAAACGCGUGGAUUAUUUCAAUAAUUUAUAAUUCUUUGUGGGCAUGUACUAUUAUUUGAAAAGUCAGUAAUACAGUGUAUUUAUCUGUAUAUACAAGUGGGUAACAGAAUUUGGUAUUGUAUUCCAGUAAAGUGGUAGCAGACUGGCACAAUAAGGGUGUGAGGGUAGUUGCAUGGACUGUAAACCAUCCGGUAGAGAAACAGUACUUUUCAAAAGUUUUAAAAAUAACAUAUAUGACUGAUACUUUGACUGGAGAAAAUUCCGUUCACUUCCCUAACUAAUAGGGUCAUAGUGGUGGCGAGGUGAGUGGUAACGUAAAAAAUUGCAAGUGUACAAAUUAGAUUUUUAA
Molecule: long non-coding RNA, 765 nt
Organism: Agrilus planipennis (emerald ash borer)
Lineage: Eukaryota; Metazoa; Arthropoda; Insecta; Coleoptera; Buprestidae
Exons: 2
Source: RefSeq, a predicted model, not a curated record